CAACGCCGCGUGGGGGAUGAAGGCUCUCGGGUUGUAAACCCUUUUGCGAGGGAAGAAGAUCUGACGGUACCUCGCGAAUAAGCCACGGCUAACUACGUGC
Molecule: ribosomal RNA, 100 nt
Filed under: uncultured bacterium
Lineage: Bacteria
Description: partial 16S ribosomal RNA
Rfam family: Bacterial small subunit ribosomal RNA
Source: RNAcentral